GACCGAUAGCGCAUAGUACCGUGAGGGAAAGGUGAAAAGAACCCCGGGAGGGGAGUGAAAUAGUACCUGAAACCGUAUGUCUACAAGCAGUCGAAGCGAAAGCGACGGCGUGCCUAUUGAAGAAUGAACCAACGAGUUAUCUGCACUAGCGAGGUUAAGUGGAAGACACGGAGCCGCAGCGAAAGCGAGUCUUAAGAGGGCGCUAGUUAGUGUAGGUAGACCCGAAACCGCAGUGAUCUACCCAUGUCCAGGUUGAAGCGCAGGUAAAAUUGCGUGGAGGACCGAACCGGUGAGCGUUGAAAAGCUUUCGGAUGAGAUGUGGGUAGGGGUGAAAUUCCAAUCGAACGCGGAGAUAGCUGGUUCUCCCCGAAAUAGCUUUAGGGCUAGCCUGAGGUAGUAAGUAUAGGCGGUAGAGCACUGAUCGGGCUAGGGGCCGUAAAGGUUACCGAACCCUGUCAAACUCCGAAUGGAUAUACUGUAGAGCCUUGGAGUCAGACUACGAGUGAUAAGAUCCGUGGUCAAAAGGGAAACAGCCCAGACCACCAGCUAAGGUCCCCAAUGUCGUACUAAGUGGAAAAGGAUGUGGGGUUUCAUAAACAACCAGGAUGUUGGCUCAGAAGCAGCCACCAUUUAAAGAGUGCGUAAUAGCUCACUGGUCGAGAGACCCUGCGCCGAAGAUUCCCGGGGCUAAAGUACGAAACCGAAGCUGUGGCUGUAUACGUAAAGUAUACGGGGUAGGGGAGCGUUCCCAUAGGGUAGAAGUCGAACUGGAAGGUUCGGUGGACUUGUGGGAAGUGAGAAUGUUGGUAUGAGUAGCGAAAAGAAAGGUGAGAAUCCUUUCCACCGAAAGCAUAAGGAUUCCUGAGCAACGAUCGUCGUCUCAGGGUAAGUCGGGACCUAAUCCGAGGCAGAGAGCGUAGGAGAUGGACAACUGGUUGAUAUUCCAGUACCGGUAGUAAUUGUUUGAGCAAUGGAGUGACACAGAAGGGCAGGCAAGCAUGCGAAUGGAAGAGCAUGUGUAAGCGUGUAGGGUGGUGCAUAGGCAAAUCCGUGCACUGAAAGCCUGAGGCGUGAUGCGGAGUGAGCAGAGAUGCGAGCGAAGUUGUUGACCCCACACUGUCGAGAAAAGCUUCUAGUGAGAGAGCUACCGCCCGUACCGUAAACCGACACAGGUAUGCGGGGAGAGAAUCCUAAGGUGCGCGGGAGAACCCUCGUUAAGGAACUCGGCAAAAUGUACCCGUAACUUCGGGAUAAGGGUAGCCACUGUUGUGAAGUCCCAUGCGGAUGGAGCAUAGAGUGGUCGCAGAGAAGAGGCCCAAGCGACUGUUUACCAUAAACACAGGUGCCUGCUAAAGCGAAAGCUGACGUAUAGGUGCUGACACCUGCCCAGUGCCGGAAGGUUAAGGAAGGAUGUUCGGAUUAGUCCAAAGCAUUCGACUGAAGCCCCGGUGAACGGCGGCCGUAACUAUAACGGUCCUAAGGUAGCGAAAUUCCUUGUCGGGUAAGUUCCGACCCGCACGAAAGGUGUAACGAUUUGGGCACUGUCUCAACGAGGGACCCGGUGAAAUUGAAAUACCUGUGAAGAUGCAGGUUACCCGCGACUGGACAGAAAGACCCCAUGGAGCUUUACUGUAACCUGACAUUGGGUUUUGAUACAUUACGUACAGGAUAGGUGGGAGGCAUGGAAAGCUGGACGCUAGUCUGGCUGGAGCCGACGUUGGGAUACCACCCUUGAUGUAUUGAAAUUCUAACCGCGAGAGUAACGAAAUCCGGGACAGUGUCAGGCGGGCAGUUUGACUGGGGCGGUCGCCUCCGAAAGAGUAACGGAGGCGCCCAAAGGUUCCCUCAGCGCGGCCGGAAAUCGCGCGAAGAGUGUAAAGGCAGAAGGGAGCUUGACUGCGAGUCAAACACGACGAGCAGGUACGAAAGUAGGGCUUAGUGAUCCGGUGGUACCGAGUGGAAGGGCCAUCGCUCAACGGAUAAAAGCUACCCUGGGGAUAACAGGCUAAUCUCUCCCAAGAGUCCAUAUCGACGGGGAGGUUUGGCACCUCGAUGUCGGCUCAUCACAUCCUGGGGCUGAAGUCGGUCCCAAGGGUUGGGCUGUUCGCCCAUUAAAGUGGUACGUGAGCUGGGUUCAGAACGUCGUGAGACAGUUCGGUCCCUAUCCAUCGCGGGCGCAAGAGAUUUGAAGGGGGCUGCUCCUAGUACGAGAGGACCGGAGUGGACGAACCGCUGGUGUACCAAUUAUCC
Molecule: ribosomal RNA, 2250 nt
Filed under: human gut metagenome
Description: bacterial LSU rRNA
Rfam family: Bacterial large subunit ribosomal RNA
Source: RNAcentral